Molecule: non-coding RNA, 761 nt
Organism: Paramuricea clavata
Lineage: Eukaryota; Metazoa; Cnidaria; Anthozoa; Malacalcyonacea; Plexauridae
Source: the annotation of a GenBank genome assembly
AUAUGCAUUUAUUAGACCUAACCAGGAACAGUUGUGAAAAAUGCAACUAUAGGUCCCUGGCAGGAAUCGAACCCACGGUCCUGCGAUUCCGGGGCAGCGCUCUAACCAACUGAGCUACAGAGGCCAGUCGUCGAGCUCUAGCCACAAGUUCAUGCAUAUAUAUAUAUAUAUAUAGGGUACUGCCAUGUUUUAGGCUAGGCCAAAAAAAUAUGUGGGUUUCCGGUUUCUUCUUAUAAAAAUUUAGGUAGGGUAGGUCUGUUUUAACUUUUUUUUUUAACUUUUUUUUUAAUUUUCUGAACAAGCGGACGCCAUUUUGUUUAGUCAGUGCUUCCACAUCCAAAGAUAAAUUUCCCUAAUAUUGCCUCAAAUUUCAAUCUUCCACAAACUUUUUCCUCUAAGUGGAAACACUUACAAGCAUGAUCCAAUAAAAAAGUUUAGGGUCGGGAUUUCGACGUCCAAAAGCUAGGUAGGGUCGGGAAACCGGAAACCCACAUAUAUUUUUUUGGCCUUAUAGAUAAAUAUCGAGAUUUUGUUGGCAUCUCACUCGAUUCAAUAAUAGUUGAAGGGUCUUGCAGAUGGAAAUUAUCGAGUGGAAAAUCCAAGGACCUACAGUAUAGUUGCAUUUCUAGCAGCUGUUCCUGGUCAGGUCUAAUAAAUGUACAGUAUAUAAAUUUCCACUAGAUAAUUUCCAUAUCUACUGUACAAGACCCUUCAACUAUCAUUGAAUCGAGUGAGACCACUUUCUGGUCGGAAAAUGUACG